RNAcentral lists this unclassified non-coding RNA (317 nucleotides) under Hevea brasiliensis (rubber tree). The record is from RNAcentral. Lineage: Eukaryota; Viridiplantae; Streptophyta; Magnoliopsida; Malpighiales; Euphorbiaceae.
AGGCUUAUGGUAGUAAUUUAUGUUCCCAACGUAGGAACUCCUACCCUCAGGAACUUUUCUUGCUUCGUCAAUGACUGCAUCCACUCUAAAAAAUGUGUCAUCAUCACCCUUCAUAAUAUGCUUUGCAUGCACAGUGCGGACCCCAUAUUCACAGAUAGCAACAGUUUUUAAUACUACAAGGUCAUAAUUAUCCAUGUAAGGCACGAUAACAAUGUCACCAAAAAAUUCUGCCUCUUUCUUCAACUCCAAAUUCACUUCUUUCUGGGCGUGCAGUGCUACAAAGAAACAAGCUACUGCAUUUGAAGAUUUAAUAAGCC